Molecule: long non-coding RNA, 262 nt
Filed under: Gossypium barbadense (sea-island cotton)
Lineage: Eukaryota; Viridiplantae; Streptophyta; Magnoliopsida; Malvales; Malvaceae
Description: long non-coding RNA (GBAR_LNC002565)
Source: RNAcentral
CAGGCUCGGGGAUCGUCAGCAACUAGUCACACUAUCAUUAUCCACUGUUUGGUACUGCUAUGUUUUGGAUUAUCUUAUGGCAUGUAUAAAAUAGACUAGUGGCGGAAGAAUAUUUUGGUUAAUGUAUAUAGCAAUGCGAAAAUGGCUUAUAUAUGUUUGAGCAUAAUGUUAUAAUCAUUUGGUAUGGAAUGGUUAAUCACUAUCAUAAUUUGUGCUAUUUAUGCUAAAAGGGCUAGUUGAAUCAUGGAAACUAUGAAAUAGG